CUCAGAUUGAACGCUGGCGGCAUGCUUUACACAUGCAAGUCGAACGGCAGCGCGGGGCAACCUGGCGGCGAGUGGCGAACGGGUGAGUAAUAUAUCGGAACGUACCCAAGAGUGGGGGAUAACGUAGCGAAAGUUACGCUAAUACCGCAUACGAUCUAAGGAUGAAAGUGGGGGAUCGCAAGACCUCAUGCUCCUGGAGCGGCCGAUAUCUGAUUAGCUAGUUGGUGAGGUAAAGGCUCACCAAGGCGACGAUCAGUAGCUGGUCUGAGAGGACGACCAGCCACACUGGAACUGAGACACGGUCCAGACUCCUACGGGAGGCAGCAGUGGGGAAUUUUGGACAAUGGGCGCAAGCCUGAUCCAGCAAUGCCGCGUGAGUGAAGAAGGCCUUCGGGUUGUAAAGCUCUUUUGUCAGGGAAGAAACGGUAGAGGCUAAUAUCCUUUGCUAAUGACGGUACCUGAAGAAUAAGCACCGGCUAACUACGUGCCAGCAGCCGCGGUAAUACGUAGGGUGCAAGCGUUAAUCGGAAUUACUGGGCGUAAAGCGUGCGCAGGCGGUUUUGUAAGUCUGUCGUGAAAGCCCCGGGCUCAACCUGGGAAUUGCGAUGGAGACUGCAAGGCUUGAAUCUGGCAGAGGGGGGUAGAAUUCCACGUGUAGCAGUGAAAUGCGUAGAGAUGUGGAGGAACACCGAUGGCGAAGGCAGCCCCCUGGGUCAAGAUUGACGCUCANGCANNAAA
RNAcentral lists this ribosomal RNA (738 nucleotides) under Massilia suwonensis. RNAcentral describes it as "bacterial SSU rRNA". It matches the Rfam family "Bacterial small subunit ribosomal RNA", at positions 23 to 758 of the family's 1533-position model. The record is from RNAcentral. Lineage: Bacteria; Pseudomonadati; Pseudomonadota; Betaproteobacteria; Burkholderiales; Oxalobacteraceae.